Molecule: ribosomal RNA, 483 nt
Filed under: uncultured bacterium
Lineage: Bacteria
Description: partial 16S ribosomal RNA
Rfam family: Bacterial small subunit ribosomal RNA
Source: RNAcentral
CCUACGGGUGGCAGCAGUGGGGAAUUUUGGACAAUGGGCGCAAGCCUGAUCCAGCUAUUCCGCGUGUGGGAUGACGGCCCUCGGGUUGUAAACCACUUUAGUAGAGAACGAAAAGGAGCUAUCGAAUAAAUAGCUCUGUCAGCAGGGAAGAAAGAAAUGACGGUACCUGACCAAGAAGCCCCGGCUAACUACGUGCCAGCAGCCGCGGUAAUACGUAGGGGGCAAGCGUUAUCCGGAAUUACUGGGUGUAAAGGGAGCGUAGACGGUUAAGUAAGUCUGGAGUGAAAGGCCGGGGCCCAACCCCGGGACUGCUCUGGAAACUAGUGAACUUGAGUGCAGGAGAGGUAAGCGGAAUUCCUAGUGUAGCGGUGAAAUGCGUAGAUAUUAGGAGGAACACCAGUGGCGAAGGCGGCUUACUGGACUGUAACUGACGUUGAGGCUCGAAAGCGUGGGGAGCAAACAGGAUUAGAUACCCCAGUAGUC